AAGAUCUGAAGCUAUCUAAAAAAAAAAAAUCAGUGUGGCUCUCUGACCCCAAGUUCCAGAUCUGUCCUUCCAAGCAGUGUGCUUGCUCAAGGAAAUCAAUAAACGUGCUGGUUCUACUGGGGAGGGCUGAACAGCAGCUAGAGUUUCAAACCUUCUCCCGGCUGGGUUCUACGUGACCUCCGCUGAACUUCCUGCCCUUCUGCCUUUUCGUUCGAGAGGGGUCGCACGUACUCCCUGGACCGGAAGUCAGAGCCGGCGCCAUGACAGCAGGUUUUUAUGUGGUCCAGGCUUCGCCUGAGUGGAGUUUCAGAGCUGGAAAAGUGCAGUUGUGACCCACCGUCUACACAGAACUGGACAGGAAGACAAGAUCCUGAAAUACCCUCCAGAAACACAGACUGGUGUUUCUGUCCCUCUUCAGUCCAAACAAGGAAGCCAGGAAGUGCUGCCAGGCACUCCUUGGAUGUUCUGUGACGUCUGCUCAUCUCCUCAGCAAGUCUCCUAGUGUCCUACAGUUCCUUCUUACUCUGGAGUAACUAUGGCAGGAUCUCUUUCCCCACUCAGCUCCGGGGGGACACUGAAGUCAGUUUCAGCUUUGAGAGUAUUCUGAAUAAAGUCGCAUGCCUCUUCUUGGUCAUGUGCUCACUCAUUCAUGUCACACACACACACACACACACACACACACACACACACACACACACACCUCAAUCUUAAUUUCACCAGGUUGAAAUGUAUCUUUGGGGAAUAAUCAAAAGGUCUAGGCCUGGAAUUAAUGAGGUGAUCAACAGAAUAAAUAGACUUCCCUUUCUCUGCGGAGGUAUGAAACAGAAAAAAAACAACAACAACAAAAACAAAAAACAAAAAGCAAACAAACGCUAUGACAUGCUCACUGCUACACCUCCUCCUUCCCCAAUCAAAACUCGUUCCCCUGGCGUACUGUUCUGUUCCUGUCCUUUGCAAGAUAUUAUGUGUUGCUCAUUGAGAAGAGCGUGCUCUUUGAAAAGUACAGUGUUCUGUAUAAAUGCAGGGCGAUGUCCUCGUUAUCAUGAUUACUUCUGCAGGGAAAGAAAAGGAGGGGCCAGAGAAGCUGAAGUUCCUCCUCUAGCCCCAUCCCUCCUGUGGCGUCUGCUAACUGAUCCGUGGGGCGCCUCAGUGAGGUGUCGAUAGUCAGGUCCGACCAGAGUAUUGUCUGAAGACAUCAGGAAUAACGCAGGCAGAAUGAUUCAAAAAGAAAUCAAUCGUCCUAAAAAUAGCAAAGAGAAGCUCCCAGGAUAAUGCCUUCGUGUGGGAAAGAGGACUGACUGGUGAUCUGCACUGGAAGUUGAGUGUUUGUAAAUGUCUAUGUAGAAAGGCGAGUCUAGGUAGAUCAGCUUUGAGGAGGGACGUGCAAACUGGAUAGACUUCCACAUUCAGGCCUCUCAGCAGCCUUGGGCAACGCUCACACUCUGCUAGCACCCACACCUUUCUAGAAUCUUGCAGGGAAGGCAGAACACGGGAAGGGUCCACAUCUGAUAUAAGAAGAAUCACCCAGGAACUAGGCAUAACAGCACCCACCUGGAAUCCCAGCACCGGAGGCAAUCAGCUCUCUGUGAGUUCAAGUCCAGCUUGAUCUACACAGGGAAUUCCAGGUCAGCUGGGCUACAUAGUGAGAUUCUGCCUCAAAGAGAGGCGAAGAAGGCAAAGAGGAGGAUGACCCAGGAGCAUGGUAGUGCGUGCCUGGAAUCCUACCCAGCACUCGGAGAAGAUGAUCCCAAGUCCUAGACCAGCCUGGGCUAAAGAGUGAGAUGAUGUCUCAAAUGAAUAAGUAAAUUCAUACGGACAUACAAAUAAAACCAACUGAUAAGUGAGCAGAUGCUAUUGUGCGGCUCUCUCUGAGUGUGAGCUCUUCAGAACUCUGUCCCACCAGACUGCCGCUUACACAGUGGCUGCUCCCUGGAGGACUGCUAUAGCUGUCCCAGUGGCAGUGUUCUGAGUAGGAUCUCAGGUGCUGCCUGUACCUAAGCCACACUAGCAGACCUCCCUACCGAUUCUCUGAGAAUCCAAGGUCGUUUUUAGUCAGGGUGACACAGUUAUACUGUCUAUCACCACAUAAGAUUUUUCCUACUCUGACCCCUAAGGGUGUCAGUGUUGCCUACUUUGUAAAAAUAGCCGACCGGAACUGGCAUAGGUAAUCCAAUGAACAAGCAAGACGUAAACAUUUUUGAUUUGGUUGGUUUGGGUUUUUUCUUGAGUCAGGGUUUUUCUGUGUAACAGCUCUGGCUGGCUUUGAACUCACAGAGAUCUGCCUACCUCUGUCUCCCAAGUGCUGGGGUUAAAGGCGUGGGCCACAUUGCCUGGCUAUAGUUUGGAUUAUUUAUAUUGGUAAGAAGCAGGAUAUGUGGCUAUUUAGUGGGUGAGGGUUCAUGUGUAUAUGUGUGUUUCUGUGUAUGUGUGUGUGUGCUCAAGUUGUCCACACUGGCACAUGUGUGUUUGUUUGUAUACAGGUAGGACAAGGUCUGGUGUCAUUCUUCAGGUGCCAUCCACUAUUCUAGCUAUUCUGUGAGUUCUGGGGUAUGUGAGAAGCUCAAAAAUAUAAGAUAGAGAACAAUUGAAACAAUUGGUGAAGAUACCUAAUGUGGUUCUCUGGCCUACACACGCACACACAUACACACACACACACACACACACACAGACAUACACACACACAAACACACAGACAUACACACAGACAUACACACAGACACACACAAACACAUAGACAGACACACACACAAACACACAGACACACACACAAACACAAACACACACAGACACACACAGACACAUACACACAAACACAAACACACACAGACACACACACAUAUACAAACACACACACAAACACACACACAAACACACACAGACAUACACACACACACACAAACACACACACACAAACACACAGACAUAUACACACACACAAACACACACAAACAUACACAAACACACAGACAUACAAACACACACAUACAAACACAAACACACACAGAAACACACAGACACACACACAAACAAACACAAACACAUAGACACACACACAAACACAAACACACAGACACACACACACACAAACACAAACACACAGACACACAAACAUACACAAACACAUAGACAUACACACACACACAAACACACAGACAUACACACAGACACACACACAUAGACACACAGACACACAGACACAUAUACACACAGACACCCUUUCACACAGCAUAUAUACACAUGUGCACACACAAAUACAUGUACACACAUACACAGAUGCACAUACAUGCACACAUACAUACAAGUACACACAUGUACAUAUUUUCAAGUACACAUGCCUGUAUACAUGCACAUGCACAUACACCUUCAGCAUGCAGCAGUGUAGAGGCAACACGCCUUCUCACAAAAACAUGGAAUCAGAUGAGUUAAAGAAAUUAUUUGCGGGGUUGGGGAUUUAGCUCAGUGGUAGAGCGCUUGCCUAGCAAGUGCAAGGCCCUGGGUUUGGUCCCCAGCUCCGAAAAAAAAAAAAAGAAAAGAAAAGAAAAAAAAAAAGAAGUUAUUUGCCCAGCAGCCUAACUUUCCCAAAGGACAAACCCUGCUGUUAUCUGGUUUUGCUCUGUGUGGAAGAAGAUGGUAGGUCUGUUCUAGGGAUUAGCCACUGCAGCAGGGAGGUGGAGGUGGGCAGGUGGGUAGCCUGCCAGGUAGUCUAUGCCAGGAAACAUGGCUGCAUUGGUCCUAGAAAGCCCCCAGUGACCUGGGGUUUGCCAGGGACUCUGGGACUGGAGCAACAGAACAUCCAGCAUGGGUAACGAGGUGACAGCCAGGGAGAAUUUCUUGUCAACAGUUCCCCAGGUGACUUCUUAUCCUCACACAGGGACAUCCACAGGCGUGGCCUCGCUGUUGCCAGCAUUUUGCUGUGAACAAGCAGCAUGGGUGACAAUUCACAGGGCUAGCCCCUGUACCGGCAAGGACAAGCAAACCCAGAAAGAUGUACCUGCUCGUCAUAGGGGUUGAAGGCAGACUCAACUCCCACUCCCCCGCCCCUCGUUAACGUUUCAGACCAGGCGUCCAACUCAGGGGUGCCUCACAAAAGAAUUUGAUAGGAAGAUGUGACACCUCAUUUUAAAUUCCUUCUCUGCAUUCCUGAAGUUGACGGAGUGUCGGGAAGGGAGACUGAUAAAGUCCCCUGUCCCCUCCAAGUGGACUAAUCAGACGUGAAGUCUUGGCGAGAGAUAACCACGGAAUAGCAGAGUCAAAAUGACAUCACAUCAAUUCCGUUUCAGAUCCUGUCCACACUGGUGCCUAUCACUGCUCUAGGUGGCUGCACCCUCGACACACAAGAGGUUUGUCAAACCAGGAUGUCUGCCCCCCCUUGACCCUGGAGCCGUCACUCUGGGGUAUGCUGGGAGCACCGUCAUGAUGUGUGAGUCACACACAGUAAGGGGAGAUCCCUCCAGAGGUGAAGCUGUGUUGUAUGCUCUCCUCACAGGAUUUUAGCAGGAAGUUCUUACCAUGGGCAUCAAAGACAGGGUCAGAGUUGGCACCCAGAUAAGGACAGUGGCAGGUCCCCUCAGAAGCAAGUGGCUGCCAUUCGACCCUUACCCACUGGUUUGUAGAGAGAAUUGAGUCUGUGUAGUUGAAGGAUGGGUGAAAGAAACAAACGACACCUUGAGCAGGUUUGGAGGCCAUAAUGAAUGCCUAUCAGUUUAAUUAUGGCUCCAUCUUCAGCUGACACGGUUCUUUCCUCUUCGAAUUAAAAUAUCCAAGCAACUUGAAAUGGACGAGUAAUGAAUUUUUCAUGUUCUGCGCCCUGCCUCGCCUCCUGGCUCGGGGCACGGCUACCACCGCACUCCGAGCUCAUCUCAAUAGCUAGUCAACAUGGCGUGCGAGAGUCAUCUGUGUGACACAGAUAACUCGGCAACGGCACCACGUAAAUGAGAUGCAUAGCGUCUGGAUGGCGCAGAAGAUAAAAGUUCUCCGAACUUCUUGUUUAAUUUACAGCCACGGAUUUCCCUCCUGUGCUUAAGAUUUCAAAAUAGUAAUCACGUUCUGAAGAGGACAUGUCCCCACUCCAGGUACUAAUAUCAAUAUGUAAAAGAAAGCCAUUAACUAGAUGCACCUCUCAGCGGCUCCUAUUAUAUGUCAACAAGCUAACUGAGGUGAUAAAACAAACUGUUAGUGGAAAUUUAAUUACUAGCCAUUGAGAUUUGGGCAAGAGCUGGGAAUUCUAGACUCAUUACUCUGGCACUGGAGACGGCUGGAAGCAGCCAUCCGCCUGGAACGAACAUUUUUAAUAGGUGUUUUCCUUCUCUGGGAACCAUCGGUGCACCGAAGGCCACUCGGAAACUUUUCAAAACGGGUCCUUCCGUGAUUGCAGGGGUAACAUGCAAUGAGGGCCGGAAAGACGGAGAAAAGCCGUGAAACCAUCCAACGACAGCACCUCCAGGUAGGCGCCUAGGGCCAGUGUGGGGUCUUUGAGGUCAUUUCUGGAAACGAUUUCUGGGUAUUUAAUUGUGUCAGGUUUCUGGCCCAUGGCCACUUCUCCAGCUGGUGUGAUGAAAAUUUAUAUUAUGAUACAAACCAGAGCACUGCCCUCUGUAAAACUGGCCGUUCCUGCUCCCUUCCUCUAGAUGUCGGGUCUAGACCAGUCUUGAUGCCCCACCCUGGGUACCCUGAGUUGCACUGCAGGCUCCUUGUCUCCCACUGAAACCCCAGUCAUUUGUCCGUGGCGUGUGUGUACACAUGGUAUCCAGUGAUUGGCUGGGUGUAGGAUAGAUGCCAGCCUCACUCAGAUUUCACUUGGGAGCUGCCAUGCUCCAAGAUCUAGAUAAAAGAGGUAUCAAACCAUACCAGUUCUGCCCAGCCCAAGUGCUCUAUAGAGUGUCUGAAGAGUAUUAGUGAGCUCACCAUCCCAAGGCCAUGAGCCUCAGGGGAUUGAUGACAUCUUUUUUCAGCCUUGGCAUGAAAUUCAACCACCCUCUCAGUUUUUCAAAGAAAAGCCAUUCCUAUGAAGUUUUGUGUGUGUGUGUGUGUGUGUGUGUGUGUGCGCGCGCGCGCACGCGCGUACGUGUGCACGCGUACGUGUGCAAGUGCAUGUGUGGUACAUAAUUGAUAGAUAUGUGUGUUCAGUAUGUUAUGUGUGGAAGUCAAAGAACAAAGUCAGAUAUCAAAGCUUGCCUUUUGCCUCAUUUGAGACAGGGUCUUUUCUUUGAGAUCUUCUCCUGAGAUUACAUUCGUGUGCUACAAUGCCAGCUUUUAAGUGGGUCCUUGAGAUUUCAAACUUGGCUCCUCCAGCUCGUUCGGUGGUUAGAACGAACUGACAUCUUAACAACCCAAAUACAAAGGACGGCAAUCCUAAGGCCCUGCCACUGGGGAACUCUGAUAAGGGAAGGCGGCUGUGGCUGCGCUGAAUUAAUGCCCUGGAGGAACUUGACCAGCUUAGACAACCCUCUGACCUGGUCACCUAGCUGCAAAGCCUCUGCCACAGCUAAAUAAAUGGCUUAGCCAAGCCCUUCCUGGCCA
This is a non-coding RNA of Rattus norvegicus (Norway rat), 6519 nucleotides long. The record is from RefSeq and is a predicted model, not a curated record. NCBI's taxonomy places the organism in Eukaryota, Metazoa, Chordata, Mammalia, Rodentia, Muridae.